GAUGAACGCUAGCGAUAGGCUUAACACAUGCAAGUCGAGGGGCAGCACGGGAUUAGCUUGCUAAUCUUGGUGGCGACCGGCGUAAGGGUGCGUAACGCGUAUGCAACUUGCCUGUCAGUGGGGAAUAACCCGGAGAAAUCCGGACUAAUACCGCAUACACUUUAGUUUCUGCAUGGGGACUUUAGGAAAGAUUUAUUGCUGACAGAUAGGCAUGCGUUCCAUUAGAUAGUUGGUGAGGUAACGGCUCACCAAGUCGACGAUGGAUAGGGGAGCUGAGAGGCUUAUCCCCCACACUGGAACUGAGACACGGUCCAGACUCCUACGGGAGGCAGCAGUGAGGAAUAUUGGUCAAUGGGCGAGAGCCUGAACCAGCCAAGUCGCGUGAAGGAAGACGGUCCUAUGGAUUGUAAACUUCUUUAGUAGGUGAGUACAAGCAGUUACGUGUAGCUGUAAGCAAGUAACCUAAGAAUAAGCAUCGGCUAACUCCGUGCCAGCAGCCGCGGUAAUACGGAGGAUACGAGCGUUAUCCGGAUUUAUUGGGUUUAAAGGGUGCGUAGGUGGCUUUAUAAGUCAGUGGUGAAAAGCUGUGGCUCAACCAUAGUCUUGCCGUUGAAACUGUGGAGCUUGAGUGCGGAUGAAGUAGGCGGAACGCGUAGUGUAGCGGUGAAAUGCAUAGAUAUUACGCAGAACUCCGAUUGCGAAGGCAGCUUACCAACCGCAACUGACACUGAAGCACGAAAGCGUGGGUAUCAAACAGGGAUAGAUACCCUGGUAGUCCACGCCAUAAACGAUGAUUACUCCGGAUAUGCGAAAUAUGGGAUGCUCCCAGGGGAAACCAAUAAUUAUUCCCCCUGGGGAGUACGCCGGGCAACGGUGAAACUCCAAGGAAUAGAGGGGGUGCCGGCCCAAGGGGAGGAACAUGUGGUUUAAUUGGAUGAUACGCGAGGAACCUUACCCGGGAUUGAAAUGUACAUGACGGUUGGGGGAGAGCCUGACUUCCCUUCGGGGCAUGUAUGUAGGUGCUGCAUGGUUGUCGUCAGCUCCUACCGUGAGGUGUCGGCUUAAGUACCAUAACGAGCGCAACCCACAUCGUCAGUUACUAGCAGGUAGAGCUGAGGACUCUGACGAGACUGCCGUCGUAAGCCGCGAGGAAGGUGUGGAGGACGUCAAAUCACCACGGCCCUCACAUCCGGGGGGCCACACGUGUUCCAAUGGUAGGGACAAAGGGCAGCUACCUGGCGACAGGAUGCGAAUCUCCAAACCCUAUCUCAGUUCGGAUCGGAGUGUGCAACUCGACUCCGUGAAGCGGGAUUCGCUAGUAAUCGCGCAUCAGCCCUGGCGCGGUGAAUACGUUCCCGGGCUU
This 1363-nucleotide ribosomal RNA is filed under the name uncultured bacterium. Its description in RNAcentral is "bacterial SSU rRNA". It matches the Rfam family "Bacterial small subunit ribosomal RNA", at positions 28 to 1381 of the family's 1533-position model. The record is from RNAcentral.